Molecule: ribosomal RNA, 321 nt
Filed under: Allapsidae sp.
Lineage: Eukaryota; Cercozoa; Glissomonadida; Viridiraptoridae
Description: SSU rRNA
Rfam family: Eukaryotic small subunit ribosomal RNA (bases 60-321)
Source: RNAcentral
GAUUUCUGACUUAGCGCACCUGGCCCGCCACGUUUACGUGUGUGAGUGCCGGGAUGCGCUUGUCACUUUUCUGGUAAACCAUUGUGCUCUUCAUUGAGUGUGAUGGGUAGCCAGAUAUUUUACUUUGAAAAAAUUAGAGUGUUUAAAGCAGGCGUUUGCUAUGAAUACAUUAGCAUGGAAUAAUAAUUUAGGACUUUGGCCCUAUUUUGUUGGUUUCUAGGACUGAAGUAAUGAUUGAUAGGGAUAGUUGGGGGUGCUCGAAUUCAGCGGCCAGAGGUGAAAUUCUCGGAUUCGCUGAAGACGAACUCAUGCGAAAGCAUU